UAGGGAAUCUUCGGCAAUGGACGGAAGUCUGACCGAGCAACGCCGCGUGAGUGAAGAAGGUUUUCGGAUCGUAAAGCUCUGUUGUAAGAGAAGAACAAGUGUGAGAGUGGAAAGUUCACACUGUGACGGUAUCUUACCAGAAAGGGACGGCUAACUACGUGCCAGCAGCCGCGGUAAUACGUAGGUCCCGAGCGUUGUCCGGAUUUAUUGGGCGUAAAGCGAGCGCAGGCGGUUAGAUAAGUCUGAAGUUAAAGGCUGUGGCUUAACCAUAGUACGCUUUGGAAACUGUUUAACUUGAGUGCAAGAGGGGAGAGUGGAAUUCCAUGUGUAGCGGUGAAAUGCGUAGAUAUAUGGAGGAACACCGGUGGCGAAAGCGGCUCUCUGGCUUGUAACUGACGCUGAGGCUCGAAAGCGUGGGGAGCAAACAGGAUUAGAUACCCUGGUAGUCCACGCUGUAAACGAUGAGUGCUAGGUGUUAGACCCUUUCCGGGGUUUAGUGCCGUAGCUAACGCAUUAAGCACUCCGCCUGGGGAGUACGACCGCAAGGUUG
Molecule: ribosomal RNA, 550 nt
Filed under: uncultured bacterium
Lineage: Bacteria
Description: bacterial SSU rRNA
Rfam family: Bacterial small subunit ribosomal RNA
Source: RNAcentral